ACAGGAUAAAAACGCAAUGUGCGCCCUUUGGCGUACUAGAGCUGGUAGGUAGCCCAGCCGUCUGAGCCCCAGGCUCAGGUAAGUAACCUUCCCCUCCGGGUUGUCCGUUCCUGUGAUA
RNAcentral lists this non-coding RNA (118 nucleotides) under human gut metagenome. Its description in RNAcentral is "yjdF RNA". It matches the Rfam family "azaaromatic riboswitch aptamer (yjdF RNA)", at positions 6 to 91 of the family's 101-position model. The record is from RNAcentral.